GAUGAACGCUGGCGGCGUGCCUAAUACAUGCAAGUCGAGCGAACGGACGAGAAGCUUGCUUCUCUGAUGUUAGCGGCGGACGGGUGAGUAACACGUGGAUAACCUACCUAUAAGACUGGGAUAACUUCGGGAAACCGUAGCUAACACCGGAUAAUAUUUUGAACCGCAUGGUUCAAAAGUGAAAGACGGUCUUGCUGUCACUUAUGGAUGGUUCUGCGCUGCAUUAGCUAGUUGGUAAGGUAACGGCUUACCAAGGCAACGAUGCAUAGCCGACCUGAGAGGGUGAUCGGCGACACUGGAACUGGGACACGGACCAGACUCCUACGGGAGGCAGCAGUAGGGAAUCUUCCGCAAUGGGCGAAAGCCUGACGGAGCGACGCGGCGUGAGUGAUGGAGGUCUUCGGAUCGUAAAACUCUGUUAUUAGGGAAGAACAUAUGUGUAAGUAACUGUGCACAUCUUGACGGUAACUAGUCAAAAAGCCACGGCUAACUACGUG
This 497-nucleotide ribosomal RNA is filed under the name uncultured bacterium. Its description in RNAcentral is "partial 16S ribosomal RNA". It matches the Rfam family "Bacterial small subunit ribosomal RNA", at positions 28 to 507 of the family's 1533-position model. The record is from RNAcentral.